RNAcentral lists this ribosomal RNA (168 nucleotides) under Paphiopedilum hangianum. RNAcentral describes it as "5.8S ribosomal RNA". It matches the Rfam family "5.8S ribosomal RNA". Rfam says of the family: 5.8S ribosomal RNA (5.8S rRNA) is a component of the large subunit of the eukaryotic ribosome. It is transcribed by RNA polymerase I as part of the 45S precursor that also contains 18S and 28S rRNA. Functionally, it is thought that 5.8S rRNA may be involved in ribosome translocation. The record is from RNAcentral. Lineage: Eukaryota; Viridiplantae; Streptophyta; Magnoliopsida; Asparagales; Orchidaceae.
CUGAACAACUCUCAGCAACGGAUAUCUCGGCUCUUGCAUCGAUGAAGAACGCAGCGAAAUGCGAUAAGUGGUGUGAAUUGCAGGAUCCCGUGAACCAUCGAGUCUUUGAACGCAAGUUGCGCCCGAGGCCAUCAGGCCAAGGGCACGCCUGCCUGGGCAUUGCGAGUC